UGGUUGUUUGGACUCGUUUGACACCGAGGGCAGAGGAUUGCUGCCGUCCGGCUCCCCUUGCUAGCAAGUAAAAUUGAUCGAUUGCUGUUCAACUUGGUUCGUUAACGGGAAUAAGUCUAAACCAGCUGAGCCUGUGGAAGCGCAGAGCCAACAUUUAUUUGGUCCUUCCGAGCCGGAGCCCAACACAUUGCGUCCACCGAGGAGGGAGAGACCUCGACGCCGCAGUCUGCUAGCAGCCAGGACAUCCGGGACGCCUGAUGAUAGACUUAAUUUGUGGCCAGGCCGGUGAGUUAGCGUCUGACCUCCCCUCGGGUUGGAUGGCGAUUGACGGGAUCCAGAGACUUUCCCCGUGAACGAGAAGCAGCACAACAGUAAGUAAAGAGAGAGGGCCUUAUUCGUCACCUUGACCAUGCAGUUAAACGCAGGUAAGGGAGCGCGCUACCUGUGCAUGCAGACGCAAGCUACCUGGUUUCUCCACCAGUUUUUCAAGGUCCUCUUGUUUUCUCCACCAGUUUUCAAGGAGGUCUGGUUUCUCUGUAAGUUUUUAAGGAGGUCUGGUUUCUCCGCCAGUUUUUAAGGAGGUCUGGUUUCUCCCCAGUUUUUUAAGGAGGGUUCUUCGCCAUUACGGACGCUUAGUUUUUAAGGAUGGUUUCUCCACCAAAAGGAGGUUUUUUCUCCCCCGCUGAGGGCGUUGAGUGUUUGGUUUCACCACCAAUAUGUAAGGAGGAUAGAGCUCUCGUUGGUGACUCUGCUGUAAGUAAGAUCAUAGGCCAAUUUUGUGUGUGUGAAUGUGAACUAUGUUCAAGUAGGUUCUCAGGCAUCCAGGACAUGGUAGUCUAAGGAGCUUGGAAAGAAAGUGACUGGGCUUCUUGAAGUUUCUUGAAUUUUCAGAAUGUGAAACUGAAAUAGAAGAUGUGUCAGAGGACUACACAUCUUCCAUUUCAAUUAUGAUGAAGACAAAGAAUCAAGCAAGAAAGAGGAGUCAGCUGAGACAUACAAAUAUUUGCAGUAAUGUGAGGAAACAUUGAUCUGGUCUUCUAUCCUUCCGAGUGACAGACGAUGCAUGACUCUCUCAUGCGUCACAGAGAAAGACAAUCUACCACGGUCCAAGCACAUAUGCCAGGUCCCAUACUCCUUCGAUUGAUUGUCUACUUGAGCACUGAAAGCAUUAUACACCAUGUAUUAUGCUUGUAUUAUGCUUUUUAACUUUCACAUGCCAAUGGAUGCAUCAGAGACCAAGUUGGAGUUCAGUAACUUGCCCAUGAACACCUUGGUAAGAACUCCAGACCAGAGCACACAGAGAUUGAACCAACAACCAUCCAAUUAGUAGAUGACCUGCUCUACAGCCAACUCAAUGACAAACAAGGAGGGACAACAACAGAUGAAGAAUAAUGGAUCGAAUGCAGCUGUAGGCAUAUGUGGAGCAACCUAAAGACGAACCAUUCAAUGAUCGAUUUUUCUCUAAGGCUUCUGAAAACUCAGAUUCAUCUUCCGCAUCUUCAUCUGUAUCGUCUGUGUGGUCAUCCUCAUCUUCAUCCCUGAAGAAGCGAAAGCACAAAUACAAGAAAAAGCAUUCAAGAGCCAAGAAACCCAAGAAGGAGCAGAGGAAGCUCCGGCAGCGUGGUGAUCAAAAGAUUUUGGAAGAGACGAUUGUACAGAAGAGGAUACUAUAAAUGUGACAUAAAAGAUUAUGAUUUUAAUUUGUUCUAAAAACUACUCUGUGUUUGCUAUGUCAUAUAUACAUAUCUAUCUAUCUGUCUAUAUGUGUGUGUAUAUAUAUAUACAUUAGUAUGCUUUGAAUAUUUGCUUUUCUAAUUAUUUGCUUUGUUUUCAUUUUUAGUUCAAACGCAAAAUGACAUUGUGCAGCAAUACAAAUCCCUCCUCAAGACAUUUCCAAAGACGAAGACCAUGACCAAAGCUUUUCAGAAGCAUGGGCUCGACAGGAACACUGUUGUGUCCACUUCAUUAGUUGGGGAGCUUGCUAUUGCGGUCCCCAAUGUUUACCAGGAGCUACUGUCCAACAGGCCUAGAGGAGAGACGGUACUAGCUUUUGCUAAGCGAUGUGAGGCUGCAAUUCAAGGCAGUGAUAAAGUAAAAAACAAAAUAGAAAGUAUGAAGGCGGCUGGUACUUUGCUUCCAAUUUGAAGAGGGAAAUCUGUCUGGAACCCUAAUUUGUGUUAAGUGGUUUUGUUUGUUUUGAGCAUAUUGAAGUGAAGAAAAGAUCUGCAAAAUCACCCAUUUUUCAAAGAUCUGUUCACAUAUGUGUUGAGUUUCCACACAACUCAGAGAUUUACCUGGUAGUUUAUUUUAUUGGGUUUUUUAUGUUUUGAUUUGUAUAAAUGUUUGUAGAUUAAAUAAUACAGCUGUGCAGUUUCAGUUAAGGUAUAAUAAUUUAUUAUAUUAUAAUUAUUAUAAUUUUCCUUUGUUUUAUGCCAGUGGUGAAUUUAGGGAUGGGGUUUGUUUCCUUAAUAUAGUUUUAGCUGUCUUUGAAAGGCUUGUAUAUAAGUUUAGCAAUGCUAAAUAACUGUUGGUGCUUUAUACUUUUUAUAGUAAUGCCCAGUAACACUCAGAAAUGUUUGUUGGUCAUAAAUAAAUGUUGACACGUUUUAAACUUUACAACAAGGCUCUACAUUGCCAUUUUUGACAGUAGUCAAAUGUUAUUUCAAGCACUGAUUGUAAUUUAGGUCUAAGUGUUAUAAAUGGUGACAUUAUACAUUUAAGACUCACUUUUGUUAUUUAUAAAUGUUUAUUUUUCAUUAAUAAAUGUUGACAUGUUUUAAACUUUACAACAAGGCUCUCUUUUCUUAUUUAUAAAUGUUUAUUAGUCAUUAAUAAAUGGUUUUAUGCUUUACACUUUACAACAAAGCUCGGAUUGAUAGUUGUGGAUAUUUAUAAUGCAUUUAUAAAGUACAAUUUUAUAUGGUAAAAAAUAUGUUUACACAUGCUGAUUGUGCUUACAAGAUAGUAACUUAGUCUGAAAUGUUUAAUAUAGCAACUCUAGAUGAAAUAUAUAGGUGAACACAUUUGGCUCACUAUUUGGCAAGAAACCGGUCAGGUUUUUUUCUUUCUCACCCUUAACUAAUGCAUAAUAAACCAUUAAUAACGGUUUAUAAAGCAUUUACAGAUUAAUUAAUAAUAUAGCUAUAAACUAUUUAUUAGCCAUCUAUAAGGGGAGUCUUACUGUAAAGUGGUACCCUUUCCUUUAUAAAUAGUCAAACCAGACGGGGUCAUUUUUGAGCCCAAAGGACAACAGAUGUGAUUAUUCGCUGCCAGUAAAAAACUUGUAGAUUAAAAACAGCUUUCUAAAUUAACUUUGACAUAUACCCAUCUGUGAUAAUCUGUUAAAGAAACCGACUCUGGUUGUGAAACGAUAAUCACAAUAACUGAUCAUUUAACUUAUUUUUUUUACCCCAAAACAAAGAAAAAGUUCAUUUAAAUGAGGUUUUACCAGACUUAAAUUUGAAAUGGAAUAAAGAAAUAGUGUCGAAAUGUUUGAAUUAAUUUUUAAUUAAAAGUGGGUGAAAAAUCCACUUCAUAUUAAUUAAGUAUCAAUUAAACCAGAUGGGGUCAUUUUUGUAAUAGUCAAAAUAAUCUAAACAUUUAAAUAUUUUAUUGUCUCAUUUUAUUUUCGCUCAAAAACAGACUAUACUUUAUGUAAACAUGGUCUGGUGGCCCUAAAUUGCAAAAUGAGGUGUAAAUUUUGUGGUAAUGUGUUGGUCUUAAGUUAAACUAAGGUGUAACACUGAAUUGAUUGACAAUUUGUCCUUUAAAAAACACUCAAAUGAAUUGGGGUCAUUUGUGACCCCUGAGGACAACAGGUGUAUGGAAAUCGGGAGGACAUUACGAGGGUUAACACCACUAUGAAAGGUAAACCCCCACCCAAAUGUGACAAAGGGGUAGAUGUAUGGAUGUGUGUGUGUCUUUUGUUGCAGGAGCAGGAGGAGACCAGAGGAGGAAACUUUGGGUCACAUGACAGAGUGUGAACUCUGCAAAUUUAACCUUUUAGCUGUAAUUUUUCUGGGUGUCAGUGAAUUUACCAGCAGUGUGUUAUUCAUGACCGAGUAUUGCUCACAGUGAAAAUGUGUAUACACCUGCACAGCGCUAACAUUUAAAUUACUUUUCUACAGCAGAGGGUUAAUCAUGUGAUUUAUAGCAGGACACACAAUUGGUUAAUAUUUUUUUACAGGAUUUCUGGGUUUUUGUGUGACGGAAACUGUGUUUACAGGUUGUGUGUUGGUUAUGCUAUUACACUGUGUUGUUGAGAAAAUGGUGGAUAUUACAGGGGAAAAUGUGAAUACAGUGUGAGACAUACUGUGUUUGAAACCAGUGUUACUUGUUUUACAGCAGAUUGUUAACUUAAUGGUCUUUUACAGCACCUCUGGAUCCUGGUGACCUAGGCCUGACCUCCAGGAUGCUACUGCUAAUAUUUGUUUCUCUUUAAGACUGUUUGUAAAGGAUUCAGCACAGACAGACAAGUGACAACUGAACAGAUGUGCAGUGAUUAUAGAAUAGUUACAUGGGGCUCAUUAUCUGACCACUAUUGAGCUCAUAGUGCUGAAAUGAGUGAGUGACAAACUUAAGGAAAGUCACUGAUUAUAAUGUGGAAUAAAUUGGGAUGAUAUAUGAUUUGGAGCAAAUUAUGGCAAAAAGUAGUGGGUUUAAUGAUUUAGAAUAAACCUGCACAUGAUACUUGUCUCUGUGAUGCUGAAUACUUUAUUGCUCUUAUGAGCUACAGCUGUUUGCAAAUGUGAAGUUUGUUUCAACUUACAGGUUUUGUCCUACAGGGACAAAACCUGUAGGACAUUUCUGUAGGAUAUUUCCAAAGACGAAGACCAUGACCAAAGCUUUUCAGAAGCAUGGGCUCGACAGGAACACUGUUGUGUCCACUUCAUUAGUUGGGGAGCUUGCUAUUGCGGUCCCCAAUGUUUACCAGGAGCUACUGUCCAACAGGCCUAGAGGAGAGACGGUACUAGCUUUUGCUAAGCGAUGUGAGGCUGCAAUUCAAGGCAGUGAUAAAGUAAAAAACAAAAUAGAAAGUAUGAAGGCGGCUGGUACUUUGCUUCCAAUUCGAAGAGGGAAAUCUGUCUGAAACCCUAAUUUGUGUUAAGUGGUUUUGUUUGUUUUGAGCAUAUUGAAGUGAAGAAAAGAUCUGCAAAAUCACCCAUUUUUCAAAGAUCUGUUCACAUAUGUGUUGAGUUUCCACACAACUCAGAGAUUUACCUGCUGGUUUAUUUUAUUGGGUUUUUUAUGUUUUGAUUUGUAUAAAUGUUUGUAGAUUAAAUAAUACAGCUGUGCAGUUUCAGUUAAGGUAUAAUAAUUUAUUAUAUUAUAAUUAUUAUAAUUUUCCUUUGUUUUAUGCCAGUGGUGAAUUUAGGGAUGGGGUUUGUUUCCUUAAUAUAGUUUUAGCUAUCUUUGAAAGGCUUGUAUAUAAGUUUAGCAAUGCUAAAUAACUGUUGGUGCUUUAUACUUUUUAUAGUAAUGCCCAGUAACACUCAGAAAUGUUUGUUGGUCAUAAAUAAAUGUUGACAUGUUUUAAACUUUA
Long non-coding RNA from Oreochromis niloticus (Nile tilapia), 5542 nucleotides. RefSeq lists it as uncharacterized. The record is from RefSeq and is a predicted model, not a curated record. Lineage: Eukaryota; Metazoa; Chordata; Actinopteri; Cichliformes; Cichlidae. The transcript is spliced from 2 exons.